AAAUAUUUUAAGAAGAAAUAACUAAUUCGAUUAAGAAAGAAAUUGAGCGAAAAUAAUCAAAGAGGCAACAUAUAUGUAUGUUUAUGUCAAGGUCAUAUGUAAGUCAAAUUGACUUGAAAGUUUUUAGAAAUUUAGUACUGUGAAGGCAAAAAACUAGCGACUAAGAAGAUGAAAUUAAUUUAGAGAAAGAAACCGUUUUAAAGCCGUCUUAGAACGAAAUAAAUCGUUUCGAUCCGCCGUAAGACGUUUGAGCUAAAAAAACAACUUUUCUCAACAUUCAUGAAAAUUUUUUUGGAAAA
Culicoides brevitarsis is the source of this 299-nucleotide long non-coding RNA. RefSeq lists it as uncharacterized. NCBI's taxonomy places the organism in Eukaryota, Metazoa, Arthropoda, Insecta, Diptera, Ceratopogonidae. The record is from RefSeq and is a predicted model, not a curated record. The transcript has 3 exons.